CGCGUAAUUUUUCAUCUGUUCAAUUUAUUUGGUGACUGAUUUUUGAAUAUGUGGUUUAUAGGACAUAUUGAACUUUUUUUUAUACAUGGCACAAUUGAACUUUUAUAGAAGUAUAAUCAAUUAUAACUUGUGUAACACGCUUGUAUCAAGAAAUGUGUAACCUUGUUUUGAAUUCAAAAACUUGAUCACCUUUUUCAUGGUGCUUUCAAUGGAUUUUCCUUGAAAAUUUGUUGCUUAUGGGGUACUGUAGCCUGAAAAUAAGUAAAUUAUGUUAACUUGUAUAAAUUUAUGAAUAUAUUUUCUGAAUUCUUUUUGGCUGGAGUUGUUAGUUGUUCCUGCUAAAUUUAAAUCGCUAAAAGUAAAAAUGAUACAUCUUGGAUUUUACAUCAGUCUGAUUUCUGAACAAAAAUGUUGGUUUCUUUAUGUGCCUUUAUUAGCCUUUCACGCCUUAUAAGAUUUCUUUGGAUUGGCAGAAUAAUUUUCAUAUAUAAAUUCCCUGACAUUGGUAAAAU
RNAcentral lists this unclassified non-coding RNA (512 nucleotides) under Hevea brasiliensis (rubber tree). Lineage: Eukaryota; Viridiplantae; Streptophyta; Magnoliopsida; Malpighiales; Euphorbiaceae. The record is from RNAcentral.